CUGUGAAGAGAACAAUUCUCACACUGAAUGUUGAACAGCAGCUGCUUUCUCCUGUUGCUUUAAACCUUGUUGUACAGAUGGAACUUUGGCUGUGGAUUAUUCUUGCUGCUCUUUUCUUUGAGUGUAAAGGACAAGACAAAGUGAACCAGCCAACAGAGGAUGUCAUUGCUACUGAAGGAGACUCAGUUACACUUGGAUGUACAUUUGAGACAAGUGCCUCAAGUCAAACUUUGUUCUGGUACAAACAGGAAGCAAACGGUUAUCCAAAGUACAUGCUGAGAUGUUUCUCUAAAACAGUCGAUCAUGCUCCAGAGUUUGAAAAGGACAGAUUUAAUGCUACAAUUGAGAACAAGUCGGUUCCUCUGAAGAUCCAGAAGCUUCAGCUGUCUGACUCUGCUGUGUACUACUGUGCUCUGCAGCCCACAGUGACAGGAAACACCAAAACUCUGUACAAAAACCUUUGGAGCAAAGACAACAGAAUACUCCACAACAUCCACUAGAGGGAGUCACACACUGUUACACUGCAACUAUUCAGGCUCUGCUGACAACCUCUUGUGGUAUCAAGUCCAGUUCAUCUCCACAGCUUCUCCACAGAGUCACUUUACUGUCAGACAGGAUUGUGAUGUGUCAGGAAUCACAGCCACACUUGGCAUUUUAUUCAGACUUGUCUUCAUGAUAAACUCACUCCCAGCAUCUCUGUGGGAAUCUUUCCUGCACAAAGUGGCACAUGAUCAGACAUCAUCAACAUCAACCAAAUCAAACAUCAGCAAGUGUGUUGAUGAUGUGGUGCUGAUCACACACAACAAAAUCAAUCUCCAUCAGAAAGCCUGGAUGAAUGGAGAGAUGAGGGCUCCAUCCAGACCCAAUGAAGCUGUCUUUUGGACAGGUCCACCAAUCAGCUGUGACAUUGUUACCACUGACAG
This is a non-coding RNA of Scatophagus argus, 923 nucleotides long. NCBI's taxonomy places the organism in Eukaryota, Metazoa, Chordata, Actinopteri, Scatophagidae. The record is from the annotation of a RefSeq genome assembly.